GGUACAAAGCGGCGACUGAACUCUUCAAUAAGAUGCACUUUUGCAUCUUCCGCGCCCCCAUGUCUUUCUUUGAUUCCACUCCAAGCGGACGAAUCCUGAACAGAGUAAGUGCAUAUAUAUUAUGUAUAUAUUGAUCACUUAAGAUUGCAAUAUUUGUGGAUCAAGCUGCGUUAUCUAUUUGAUUAGCAUGAGAAGGAAAAAGACAAAGAAGGGAAGAGGAGAAUGAGCAAAAAGUUGUUUAUUUGAUUUCAUUUACUUAUCCUAAUUCUUUCUUUCUUUUAGGCUUCUACAGACCAAAGUGCUUUAGAUAUGAACAUUCCAUAUCAAGUUGGGAGUUUUGCUUUCUCCAUGAUCCAGCUCCUAGGCAUCAUUGCAGUUAUGUGUCAGGUUGCGUGGCAGGUUUUCAUUGUUUUUAUCCCUGUCGUUGUUGCCUGCAUCUGGUACCAGGUAAUCUUCAUCUGCUUCUCAGACUGGUUAAUCUAGGGCUUCAGUACCAAAAGAUAUCAUGUUUUAUUUCCUCAUUGAAGCUCUCUUUGAGGCUUUUAAUUUAUGAGCAUAUUAUACUGUACCACACAAAGGAUAUUGGAUUUUUACAAGCUUAAUUACAACUAUGCAGCAAUACUACAUUCCUUCAGCACGAGAGCUUUCAAGGCUGGUUGGAGUAUGCAAAGCCCCUGUGAUACAACAUUUUGCUGAAACAAUUUCAGGAUCAACAACUAUCAGGAGCUUUGAUCAAGAGACAAGAUUCUGUAACACUAACAUGAAGCUUAACGAUGGGUAUUCUCGGCCAAAGUUCCAUAUUGCUGGUGCCAUGGAAUGGCUGUGCUUCCGCCUUGAUAUGCUAUCUUCUGUUACAUUUGUGUUCUCCUUGGUUUUCUUGAUCUCUAUUCCAGAGGGAGUUAUUGACCCGAGUAAGUGAUUGAACUAGUGUCUAACUAAACUUCCUCCUCAUCGCUUACAAUAAAUGACCAAGUAAGAUGUUAAAUCAUAUUUUGUUUGUUUUUCCCCUUCUUUUAAAGGCAUUGCAGGCUUAGCUGUGACUUACGGGCUCAAUCUAAAUAUGUUGCAAGCUUGGGUGAUAUGGAAUCUUUGUAAUCUUGAGAACAAAAUUAUAUCAGUUGAAAGAGUUCUGCAGUAUACAAACAUUCCUAAUGAACCACCUCUUGUAAUAGAAGGAAAUCGACCAGGCCAUUCCUGGCCAGCUCAAGGAGAAGUUGCUAUCUUUGAUCUCCAGGUAAACUUACUAGCUUUUUAAUUGGCUCGCCCGACCAAUUUUUGAUUCAUUCAUCAAAUGAUUGGGUUCUUGUACUGUGUAGGUCCGGUAUGCCCCACAUAUGCCACUUGUGUUGCGAGGUUUAACUUGCACACUCCCAGGAGGGCUGAAAACUGGAAUUGUAGGAAGAACAGGCAGUGGUAAAUCAACUCUCAUUCAGACGCUUUUCCGAAUUGUUGAACCUACAGCUGGUUAUAUUGUGAUAGAUGGCAUAAAUAUCUCAACCAUUGGACUGCAUGAUUUGCGGUCAAGGCUGAGCAUUAUUCCCCAAGAUCCAACAAUGUUUGAAGGCACACUUCGAAGCAAUCUGGAUCCUCUUGAAGAGUACACAGAUGAACAGAUAUGGGAGGUAAGUUGGUUUUUAGUCUUUAAUUAAGCAACUUUUCUUUAUUUUGUUUCUUCUAAAGUCAGUUCUGAGGCUGGAAAUUGAAGGUUAGCAUCUGCUAACACAUGUUUUGGUUGUUUUUAGGCUCUAGAUAGGUGCCAACUUGGAGAUGAAGUUAAGAAGAAGGACGGAAAGCUAGACUCCAUAGGUUUGUCUUUGUAUCUAAUCUCAACAUGCUAGCCUCACUGACAAUAUUAAAAUAUAUCAACUAACAAUAUAAAGUUAUCAUAUGGCAGUUACGGAGAAUGGAGAGAAUUGGAGUAUGGGUCAGAGGCAGCUGGUCUGUCUUGGGGCGUGUACUACUUAAAAGAAGUAAAGGUGUUGGUUCUCGAUGAAGCCACUGCAUCUGUUGAUACAGCAACUGAUAAUCUAAUUCAGACUACUCUUCGGCAACACUUUUCUGACUGUACAGUCAUUACAAUUGCCCACAGGAUAACUUCUGUUCUUGACAGCGACAUGGUUCUACUUCUAAGUAACGGUCAGUAAGCCAUAUCAUUCCUUUGUUAUUUGGAUUCUGUGGAUAUAUAACACAUUUUAGUUUUGAUGCAGGCCUUAUUGAGGAAUAUGAUUCUCCAUCCAGAUUACUAGAAGACAAGUCUUCAUCGUUUGCACAGCUUGUAGCAGAGUACACUAUGAGGUCAAAUUCCAAUUUUGAGAAGGCAAAGUGAUGAUUAGUAUACAAACAACAAGUUUUAAUUGAUGAUGACGAAAUCAAUAGCAUCGAGGGGCUUCAUAUAAUACCACACCAACUUAUCUCUUGUUGGAAUGCAAUGUAUUCGUAAUAAGUGUAAACUUCCGUAGAUGCUUAAUUAUGUAAUACGUUACAGCUGAAUUUUGUAUCAUUUCUGCUUUAUGUUUGCAAUAGACACAGUAAUUCUAAAGUAAAAAAAAAAGAAAAACACAAUUGAAAAUUUUAGUUUUUUUCUCUUUAACACUUAAAUUACAUGUAUAUAAUUGAGAUUGUAAUGCAAUCACAAUUACUAGUGUAAUAUCCUUUUGCUAACAACAUUAUUUCCACUUUGGAUAAUCUCCAGUUGCAAAGAAAAUUCCCUGAAAUCGGUUUCUGGGAUAUAGUGAAUCAUAUUUGAAUUCGACUUUACUCAAAUUAAAUCUCCGGCUUUCCAAAGCUUGAAAAAUUUUCUAGGUUCUCCAUUCAACAGCUUCUUGAUUUGAGUAACAACAAACAAGAAGGCCUGCCUAUUUGCAACUCAAUCUUUGAUCUGGUGAACCCUAUUGAUGUCUAUCUCUCCUCGGGUAACUUCUCUAGGUUUGAAGAGGUUGACAAAACAUCAAACCUCAACAAUCAAUAAGUGAUAGAUUUGAGUAACAACUAAAUUUCAAUGGAUAUUCUGAGCUCAAAUCCCUAGAGCCAACUAAUCUAUGCAAUGUGGAAGGAAAUUAUUGUCCUUUCCAGAACAAAAUCCUGAAGGGUACCUCUGCAAACUGUAUCAAUACCCUCAGCAUUAGACACAGGUUUGAUUUGGUCAGGACUCCCGUAAUUUGUUUCGUUGGGAAAUAGAGUUUUUCCAUCUUCAAUGCAACUGGAUCUUGUUUCGUUGCAGUUACUGCAGCUACAAUCUCAUUCCUAACUUGAAAGCUUCUUUUAAAAUGAUGAUUUCACGAACAUACAUUCGACAACUGAGAAUCAUUAUCAUCUUCACAGCUAUUGAGCUCACAAACAACAAGCUCGAGACAGCAAUUCGUUAAUCCAUCUGUGAUCUACUUAUGCAUAACUUUUCAAGCAACUCUUUCACAGGCCAGAUUCCAUUACCAUCGAGGGGAACUAUCCGACCUCAACUCACCGAAUUUAUCACAACUUCCCUCACAACCAACUUGCAGGUCUAAUACCACAGAGCAGAUAGUUAGGAAUCGUCGCUAGCUCAUUUUUUGCAUCGUCGUUUCUGGUACUAGGAAUACAAACUCUUAAAAACUCUCAACGAAGUAGAAAACCUAGCUCAUUAAAUUAUGAAAUAUAAUGCAAUCGAAUCUAUAUGCGUGCGUAUAUAUGUAAAUAUCAUUACCUGAUACGAAGCUCUGUGCCGAAUUUGUGAAACGUGAUGUGCAAGCAGGAGGAUGUCGUCCGUCAUCUUUCUCCAUUACCGGAACACGUACGCCCCCGAAACCUCUACCAGCUUGACCUUGUGGAAGCCGCGGACCGCCGUCCUCCGAUCUUCGAUGACUCCCGCUCUGUAGUUCAUUACGAAAAUUUAUGAUCUUU
RNAcentral lists this long non-coding RNA (3876 nucleotides) under Carica papaya (papaya). Its description in RNAcentral is "long non-coding RNA (CPAP_LNC011795)". Lineage: Eukaryota; Viridiplantae; Streptophyta; Magnoliopsida; Brassicales; Caricaceae. The record is from RNAcentral.